GAUGAACGCUGGCGGCGUGCCUAAUACAUGCAAGUCGAGCGAACAGAUGAGGAGCUUGCUCCUCUGACGUUAGCGGCGGACGGGUGAGUAACACGUGGAUAACCUACCUAUAAGACUGGGAUAACUUCGGGAAACCGGAGCUAAUACCGGAUAAUAUAUUGAACCGCAUGGUUCAAUAGUGAAAGACGGUUUUGCUGUCACUUAUAGAUGGAUCCGCGCCGCAUUAGCUAGUUGGUAAGGUAACGGCUUACCAAGGCAACGAUGCGUAGCCGACCUGAGAGGGUGAUCGGCCACACUGGAACUGAGCCCCGGUCCAGACUCCUACGGGAGGCAGCAGUAGGGAAUCUUCCGCAAUGGGCGAAAGCCUGACGGAGCAACGCCGCGUGAGUGAUGAAGUUCUUCGGAUCGUAAAACUCUGUUAUUAGGGAAGAACAAAUGUGUAAGUAACUAUGCACGUCUUGACGGUACCUAAUCAGAAAGCCACGGCUAACUACGUG
This 497-nucleotide ribosomal RNA is filed under the name uncultured bacterium. RNAcentral describes it as "partial 16S ribosomal RNA". It matches the Rfam family "Bacterial small subunit ribosomal RNA", at positions 28 to 507 of the family's 1533-position model. The record is from RNAcentral.